CUAGGUUCCGCACUUCUAGCGCGAGUCAUCCGUAGGAUAUUUUUGCCCAUGGAGGAACUCUGAUGCAGCACCGCUGCAGCUAAUGUAUGACGACCCUCGGUAGUAAAGCUACUUAGCCUGUAAGUAUCGCUUUAGUGAUAUCUGCCGGGUGUGGCGUAUCAUGAGAAUUAGGACAGGCUCAAUUUCGUGCAGCAGCCGCGGUAUACGAAAGGUACAUGCGUUACUCGGAAUUACUGGGCGUAAAGCGCACGUAGGCGGCUUUGUAUGUCGAUUGUGAAAGCCCCGCGCUCAACGUGGGAACUGCAGUCGACACUGCAAAGCUUGAAUGUUGGAGAGGUUGGGGUAAUACCUAGUGGAGAAGUGAAAUUCGUAGAGAUUAGGUGGAACACCAGAGGUGAACGUGCGUGACUGCCCAAACAUUGACGGUGAGGCGCGAAAGCGUGGGUAGCAAACAGGAUUAGAUAACCUGGUAGUCCACGCCGUAAACUAUGGACACUCGCCGUUCGAAGCAUUAACCCUUUGAGUGGCAAAGCUAACGCAUUAAGUGUCCCUCCUGGGAAGUACGGUCGCAAGACUAAAACUCAAAGGAAUUGACGGGGGCCCGCACAAGCGGUGGAGUAUGUGGUUUAAUUCGACGCAACGCGCAGAACCUUACCUGGUCUUGACAUCGCGAGAUCGCUGCAGAGAUGUAGCUUUGCCUUCGGGCACUCGUAGACAGGUGCUGCAUGGCUGUCGUCAGUUCGUGUUGUGAAAUGUUCGGUUAAGUCCGGCAACGAGCGCAACCCCUGUCCUUAGUUACCAUCAUUAAGUUGGGGACUCUAGGGAGACUGCCGGUGUUAAACCGGAGGAAGGCGGGGAUGACGUCAAGUCCUCAUGGCCCUUACGACCAGGGCUACACACGUACUACAAUGGUGGAAACAAACCGCUGCAAGCUCGCGAGAGUAAGCUAAUCGGAAAAACACCAUCUCAGCCCGGAUUGAAGUCUGCAACUCGACUUCAUGAAGUUGGAAUCGCUAGUAAUCGCAGAUCAGCACGCUGCGGUGAAUACGUUCCCGGGCCUUGUACACACCGCCCGUCACACCACGAAAGUGGUCUUAACCAGAAGUAAUUGAGCUAACCGCAAGGAGGCAGAUACCAAGUCGGUCCGGGUUGG
This 1153-nucleotide ribosomal RNA is filed under the name uncultured bacterium. Its description in RNAcentral is "bacterial SSU rRNA". It matches the Rfam family "Bacterial small subunit ribosomal RNA", at positions 324 to 1477 of the family's 1533-position model. The record is from RNAcentral.